CCAGUGUGCCAGCAGCAGCGGUAAUACGUAGGUGGCAAGCGUUGUCCGGAAUUAUUGGGCGUAAAGGGCUCGCAGGCGGUUUCUUAAGUCUGAUGUGAAAGCCCCCGGCUCAACCGGGGAGGGUCAUUGGAAACUGGGAAACUUGAGUGCAGAAGAGGAGAGUGGAAUUCCACGUGUAGCGGUGAAAUGCGUAGAGAUGUGGAGGAACACCAGUGGCGAAGGCGACUCUCUGGUCUGUAACUGACGCUGAGGAGCGAAAGCGUGGGGAGCGAACAGGAUUAGAUACCCUGGUAGUCCACGCCGUAAACGAUGAGUGCUAAGUGUUAGGGGGUUUCCGCCCCUUAGUGCUGCAGCUAACGCAUUAAGCACUCCGCCUGGGGAGUACGGUCGCAAGACUGAAACUCAAAGGAAUUGACGGGGGCCCGCACAAGCGGUGGAGCAUGUGGUUUAAUUCGAAGCAACGCGAAGAACCUUACCAGGUCUUGACAUCCUCUGACAACCCUAGAGAUAGGGCUUUCCCUUCGGGGACAGAGUGACAGGUGGUGCAUGGUUGUCGUCAGCUCGUGUCGUGAGAUGUUGGGUUAAGUCCCGCAACGA
This 597-nucleotide ribosomal RNA is filed under the name Bacillus pumilus. RNAcentral's name for it is "bacterial SSU rRNA". It matches the Rfam family "Bacterial small subunit ribosomal RNA", at positions 500 to 1095 of the family's 1533-position model. Lineage: Bacteria; Bacillati; Bacillota; Bacilli; Caryophanales; Bacillaceae. The record is from RNAcentral.